This is a long non-coding RNA of Actinia tenebrosa (Australian red waratah sea anemone), 739 nucleotides long. NCBI's taxonomy places the organism in Eukaryota, Metazoa, Cnidaria, Anthozoa, Actiniaria, Actiniidae. The record is from RefSeq and is a predicted model, not a curated record.
CUUCUAUAUUUAACUUAGAAUAAUAAGUGGCGAUAGACAACAGUCCUUAUAAGAACACAGGGCAUACUGAUGUGAUUAGACACAUCAUUCAAAACCCAAACUGUGCUGGCAAAUUUUAUUAUUGUAGUCAAAAAUGUUUGCUCCGUCCGUAUGAACAACUGAAUCAAAUCACGCAAGAAUCAAAGCAAUGUCAAUUAUAAUCCCGAACAAAGGUGCAGAACCCGUUGCUUGGCAAUGAAGCUUGAUGGGAUGAAACACUGGCUCGCUUAAGACGUCACUGUCUGUUAUCUUUGAGAAUGUUGGAAUUGCUGUUGAGAUGAUUGAAAGAAAUUUGAGGGAAGAAAGGGAGAAACGGUAGAACCCUGAAAACCCUCGAAUCAAGGGAGAAACUACACAAACUCUACUCACAUCUGUUGGCAGUACGCUUGGGACCUGAUUACAUUUAGAAAGACUACGUGUAUGGGAAAAAGACGGCAAUUAUCACGAGAUGGCCCUGUUGACAUGCUAAGUAUUGCCUGUUCUAAACUUACUCCAGAAUACUAGUACUGACUCACCAGCUGAGCGGUGAAUUUUGUUUCAGCCAAUCACAGCGCGUUUUGCCGCCGGAACUCAUUCCCCGGCUACAGUAACCCAACAUUUGCGCAUUUUUAUGUUUUCUUUUGAUUAAGAUAUCAUAUACGUGACUACAAGAAGCAGAAAUAUGGAAAGGAAGAAUAAACACAAUUUCGAUUUAGCGCCA